This 246-nucleotide long non-coding RNA is filed under the name Carica papaya (papaya). RNAcentral describes it as "long non-coding RNA (CPAP_LNC006181)". Lineage: Eukaryota; Viridiplantae; Streptophyta; Magnoliopsida; Brassicales; Caricaceae. The record is from RNAcentral.
UUUCCAUUCGAGAAUCGGUAAUAAUUAGAGUAGGACACCAGGUCAUUGGUGUUCUGUCUUAAGUUGUUGAUAGGUGAGAUACUUAGAGACAAAAUCAGCGAUAUCUCUUUUCAUAUUGUGCCACCAAUACCAAGGUCACAUGCUUUGGAAUAUCUUGGUAUUUUCCAGAUGUAUAGUGAACCUUGAACUGUGAGCCUCUGCCAUGAUAUCCCUUUUUAAUUCAUCAUUAUUUAGAAUAUAUAACUU